CCACAAAGCUGAACCUUUCUUCCUCCUUCAAAAACAAACCAAAAAACACCCAGAAUCAUUUUGGGAUUUAAUUGAGCUUAAAAGAGGUAAAUAUUAAUGGUGAUGAUAUAAUAUGUACCUAAAUAAGCUCUAACAACAUCCAUGUAAGUAUAGUUUCUUUUUCCAUGAACAGGAUCAGGAGCUCUAUAACAAUCAGCAAGAAGGGUUGAAGUGAAGUAGGUGAUGAAGGAGAAAGCUAUAAGGACCGCCGGUCCAACCACCCAACCUAACUGAGCAAUCGCCCAUGCCAGUGAUAAUACUCCAGACCCAAUCACUGCUGUG
RNAcentral lists this long non-coding RNA (321 nucleotides) under Gossypium barbadense (sea-island cotton). RNAcentral describes it as "long non-coding RNA (GBAR_LNC016844)". The record is from RNAcentral. Lineage: Eukaryota; Viridiplantae; Streptophyta; Magnoliopsida; Malvales; Malvaceae.